Molecule: ribosomal RNA, 253 nt
Filed under: uncultured bacterium
Lineage: Bacteria
Description: partial 16S ribosomal RNA
Rfam family: Bacterial small subunit ribosomal RNA
Source: RNAcentral
UACGUAGGGUCCGAGCGUUGUCCGGAGUUACUGGGCGUAAAGCGCGCGCAGGCGGCGGUGUUGGCCCGGCGUGAAAGCCCCCGGCUCAACCGGGGAGGGUCGUCGGGGACCGCACCGCUUGAGGGCGGUAGGGGCUGGUGGAAUGCCUGGUGUAGUGGUGAAAUGCGUAGAGAUCAGGCGGAACACCUGUGGCGAAGGCGGCCAGCUGGGCCGUCCCUGACGCUGAGGCGCGAAAGCCAGGGGAGCAAACGGG